Molecule: long non-coding RNA, 1437 nt
Organism: Canis lupus familiaris (dog)
Lineage: Eukaryota; Metazoa; Chordata; Mammalia; Carnivora; Canidae
Exons: 3
Source: RefSeq, a predicted model, not a curated record
GCAGAGGGAGUAGCAGGCUCCAUACAGAGAACCUGAUGUGGGACUCCAUCCCGAGACUCCAGGAUCAGGCUCUGAACCGAAGGCAGGCACCAAACCGCUGAGCCACCCAGGGAUCCCCAAGUUCUGGUUUUCUGAUGGAAAAGUUCUAACACACAUGUAUUUCCCGCCUGCUCCAGGGGCUGGGACAUCCUUGCUGAGGCUGCGGCUUAUGACCUAUCAUCACCUUCAACAUCAGCCUGGAAACAGGUUGGUCCGGGAAGGAAGAAAUCAUGGAAAUGCAGAAGCGUACACAUGGACAAACAACCACAGAUGAAACACCAUUUGUUCGGGGGCAAAUACACAGACUCAUUCAUUCCCUGCGAUCCGCAUCAUGGGGCCAUGCCACAGUGCGACAAAAGAUCUGCCUCUCCUUGAAACCUGAAAAUGUUUCAGAGGGAUAGCCUGGCACAAGGGAGACCAGGAAUGAGAACAGGUGGGGUUUUUUGCCCGAGCUUUGGGUCCCUUCCUCCAUGGUUUCUAGGCUAAAUCAUCUUGUUGAAAAGUCACUGAAAGCUUGGUGGAGAGUAGAGUGGUCAAGCCUGAGAAAACUGCGUUGACGAGCCUCUGGUCAUCGGCCAUGUCCAUGUGCAUGGCUGGAGUGCUCAGCAACACCAUGGAUAGAAUUUUGUCUUUGAUGGAGAACAGGUGUAUUUUUUUCAUUGAGUUGACUUCAGGAUGGAAUUAUGAGCAGUUUUUGCUUUGACUGUUAUUUUAACAUCAUGUCUGUAAUAAAGUAAUUCUUUUCAAAAUGGCAAAGGAAGACAAUUCUUGUGAAUGGUGGGCUUUGGCUGGACCCUGGUCAGGCCAUAUCCCAACAGCCAGGGCAUCUCCAUCCUCAGCUGUCUCUGCUCCUCAUCAAACACCUGGCUGUCAGCUAGGAUGGAGGUUCUCUCCUCCUUCACCAGAGACAUGAGGAGCUCCAGAGACUCAUCCCGAAUGUCUCUUGUGACCAUCCUCACUGACCUGGCCCGUCAGCACAUCACACACUCCAUCUCCUGUUUCGAGGAAAAGUAAUAACAACAAGAAUUAAUUUAUUCCCAGGGGAAAUUGUGGGCCACAUAACAGUAUAGGGGUAAAUUACAGGAAUUUACCAUUCACGGACUCUGCUGGGUGUGGCUUAACUCAUACCUUCGGAUUGCCACCCAGCUAUGAGAUCCUUCUUCUAGACUCUGACCUUCAAAGCCCACAUCCUUUUUGUCACAGUUAUAUAAAGUAACCCCCUCACCCCCCACUCCCAUGACAUACAUGUGUGCACAAGCAUGCACACACCCACACAUGCAGAGCUCUAGGUCAAAACCAUACCCUCUGCAGCCACGAAAGCUCUGAUUGGGUCACUCUGUUGAUUGACCUUAGUGGGUGACCUGAGGACAGGGCAGGGUGGCCAGGCCUGAUGGACAA